RNAcentral lists this ribosomal RNA (468 nucleotides) under uncultured bacterium. Its description in RNAcentral is "partial 16S ribosomal RNA". It matches the Rfam family "Bacterial small subunit ribosomal RNA", at positions 28 to 507 of the family's 1533-position model. The record is from RNAcentral.
GAUGAACGCUGGCGGCGUGCUUAACACAUGCAAGUCGAACGGAAAGGCCAGUGCUUGCACUGGUACUCGAGUGGCGAACGGGUGAGUAACACGUGGGUGAUCUGCCCUGCACUUCGGGAUAAGCCUGGGAAACUGGGUCUAAUACCGGAUAGGACAAUGGUUUGGAUGCCGUUGUGGAAAGUUUUUUCGGUGUGGGAUGAGCUCGCGGCCUAUCAGCUUGUUGGUGGGGUAAUGGCCUACCAAGGCGUCGACGGGUAGCCGGCCUGUGAGGGUGUACGGCCACAUUGGGACUGAGAUACGGCCCAGACUCCUACGGGAGGCAGCAGUGGGGAAUAUUGCACAAUGGGCGCAAGCCUGAUGCAGCGACGCCGCGUGGGGGAUGACGGCCUUCGGGUUGUAAACUCCUUUCGCUAGGGACGAAGCGUAUUUGUGACGGUACCUGGAGAAGAAGCACCGGCUAACUACGUG